GUUGUAACCAAGAAAACACAAUGCGGCUUCUAGAAACCCAUUCAGCUGUGAGCGCAAACAUGAGUAAUUAACCAGAACGUGAAAAGAAUACAUUCUAUAUAUACUAUACACAAUCAACAAAUGCUAAUGCUAACUAUAGCAAAAGGCAUUAUGAUGAAUUAUUGGGAAAAGUUCAAAAUUUGCAAAAAUCAUGCCUUGGUUAAAUCUUAUUGGCUAUGAUAUUAGUA
Molecule: non-coding RNA, 227 nt
Organism: Pelobates cultripes (western spadefoot toad)
Lineage: Eukaryota; Metazoa; Chordata; Amphibia; Anura; Pelobatidae
Source: the annotation of a GenBank genome assembly